UACAGAGGUCCCGAGCGUUGUUCGGAUUUAUUGGGCGUAAAGGGUGCGUAGGCGGCGGAGUAAGUUGGGUGUGAAAUCCCCGGGCUUAACCUGGGAAUGGCAUUUGGGACUGCAAGGCUUGAGUGCGGCAGAGGAGACUGGAAUUCCUGGUGUAGCAGUGAAAUGCGUAGAUAUCAGGAGGAACACCGAUGGCGAAGGCAGGUCUCUGGGCUGACACUGACGCUCAUGCACGAAAGCGUGGGGAGCAAACAGG
RNAcentral lists this ribosomal RNA (253 nucleotides) under uncultured bacterium. Its description in RNAcentral is "partial 16S ribosomal RNA". It matches the Rfam family "Bacterial small subunit ribosomal RNA", at positions 524 to 776 of the family's 1533-position model. The record is from RNAcentral.